GAAAAGUUAAUUCGGCAUUACAUUGCAGGAUGGUGUUGUUUUUAAAUGGGAAUAUCUGAUAUACAAAACUCUUUAUUACCAAAGCAUAUUAUUAGUCCUUCUAAAUGGGCACAGUCAACUCUGUAGAUUAGAUGCUGAUGAUCAACCUGCAUCUCUUUUGCAUGAUACAUAACCCCAUCGUAAAAUAAAGUUGAGCUUUUAGAUGGCAAAUGCCAAGGGUAUUGGGUUUACCCCACAAUGUUAGCUUGAGGAUGAACUUGAUUCAUUUUUUUUGGUAGGACUCCAAAGCAUUGAUCCUCAAAGCAACUAUGUUGGCCGGAUAUGUACAAUGUGUCAAGGCAGAAAAAGAAAUGAAACCGAAAACAUGUGAUUUGAAUCUUAAGAUACUGAAGAAAGUAGAUGACAAUUGCCAUUCAGGAGCCCUGGAAAAGUGAUAAAGUCUUCACUAACUGAUCUCUAAAGAAAUUGAUCUGAAGCUACCUUAAUACCAGAAGUGAAGAAGGUCCUAUUUACCAUCCACAAAGCGCUCCAUGGUAGUGGAUCUGG
This is a non-coding RNA of Thamnophis sirtalis, 546 nucleotides long. NCBI's taxonomy places the organism in Eukaryota, Metazoa, Chordata, Lepidosauria, Squamata, Natricidae. The record is from RefSeq and is a predicted model, not a curated record.